RNAcentral lists this ribosomal RNA (388 nucleotides) under uncultured bacterium. Its description in RNAcentral is "bacterial SSU rRNA". It matches the Rfam family "Bacterial small subunit ribosomal RNA", at positions 29 to 414 of the family's 1533-position model. The record is from RNAcentral.
AUUGAACGCUGGCGGCAUGCCUAACACAUGCAAGUCGAACGGUAACAGGCCCUUCGGGGUGCUGACGAGUGGCGGAUGGGUGAGUAAUACUUAGGAAUCUACCCUGUAGUGGGGGACGAACCCGGGGAAACGUCGGGCUAAUACCGCAUACGCUCUACGGAGGAAAGCGGGGGACCGGCAAGGCCUCGCGCUAUUGGAUGAGCCUAAGCCCGAUUAGCUAGUUGGUGGGGUAAGUAGCCUACCAAGGCAAUGAUCGGUAGCUGGUCUGAGAGGACGACCAGCCACACUGGGACUGAGACACGGCCCAGACUCCUACGGGAGGCAGCAGUGGGGAAUAUUGGACAAUGGGCGAAAGCCUGAUCCAGCGAUGCCGCGUGUGUGAAGAAGG